Molecule: non-coding RNA, 27 nt
Filed under: Mus musculus (house mouse)
Lineage: Eukaryota; Metazoa; Chordata; Mammalia; Rodentia; Muridae
Source: RNAcentral
UGCCAGUGGAUUUCCCUCUACUCCCAC